RNAcentral lists this unclassified non-coding RNA (291 nucleotides) under Hevea brasiliensis (rubber tree). The record is from RNAcentral. Lineage: Eukaryota; Viridiplantae; Streptophyta; Magnoliopsida; Malpighiales; Euphorbiaceae.
UUUUUCCUUUUUUUUUUUUUUUCUGGUGCAUCUGAUGUAUAUAAUUUUCCCAGUGCAUGAGGGAGUAGCUCUGUGCAUACCUACAGAAAGACCAAAAAAAAAAAGGUUGAACUUUUGCAUGCUAAUAAAAACUAGUACUAAAAGCAAAAAGCACUCCAGUAUUGGUGAACUUGUUAUCAAGUGUAUUCUUCACUACACUGGCUGCAUUAAAGAAAGUAGUGUAUUCUUUGCUCAAAUUCAUGCAGGAUCCACUUGAUAUGUGGAAAGUAAGUUCAAUAUGAAUUUCAGGGA